UUUUUCAUAGACUGGAUUUAUAUAUUUAUAGCUAAAAUUAGGUUAAAUUUUUUUUUUACAGAGUUAAAUAUUUAGAUUGAUGAAAGAUGUAUAAUAGUGACAGGGAUUAGAUACCCCAUUAAUGUACAUUGUAGUUUUGUCUUAGUUAAUAUAACUAAAAUAAUUUGGCAGUGAGCGACUCUUUUUAGGGGAAGGUGUGGUGUAAAGGAUGUUCCGCCUAAUAAUUUACUUUCGUUAUGUUGGUGUAUAUCUGGUUUAAUAUUAUCGUUGAGUAAGUGAGUUUGCGUAGUUUUAUUUAAGCCAAGUCUAUGUGCUGCUUAUGAAAGUAUUCAUGCGUUACAUUUAUAAGGUUUAGGUUUGAAUCCUAAAAUAUUUAGGACUUAAAAGUAAUGUU
Molecule: ribosomal RNA, 394 nt
Filed under: Taenia hydatigena
Lineage: Eukaryota; Metazoa; Platyhelminthes; Cestoda; Cyclophyllidea; Taeniidae
Description: partial 12S ribosomal RNA
Source: RNAcentral